RNAcentral lists this long non-coding RNA (3337 nucleotides) under Homo sapiens (human). RNAcentral's name for it is "cardiomyocyte maturation associated lncRNA". Lineage: Eukaryota; Metazoa; Chordata; Mammalia; Primates; Hominidae. The record is from RNAcentral.
GCAGAAGUGCCGAGUCCCGGCCGGGGGCAGCCUCGCCGCCGCUCAGCUCGGGAAUCCCUGCCCCCCACCAGCACCUCAGUGGGGGAUACUGCAAGUUCAAGGUUCACCUCCUGGGCUCACGGCCCCUUCCCCACAUCCCAAGGCCGGCUCUGCAGAGUCAUGGGGAGAAGCCGGAGCCCCAGCCACACUCGCCACACACGCCGACACCCACUCUGGUGUCCUCCGGCCAGCGACAGCGAGGGACAGAGGGACGCCCCCUGCACCUGCCCAGUGCAGAGGCUUCUUGAGUGAUGCCAGGCCCUUCUCCCAGCCCUGUGGUUUAAGGCGUGAAUGAAUGAAGGAGCAAGCAGUAAGCCCCGACAGCAAGGCCACCACAGCCCUCGCCCCACAGGGACGCCUGAGCAAGGACCCAAGCAGGGGACAAGCAGGCUCACCCCGCCCUUGCGGGGCUGACCACGAGGCCCCGUCCGGUGGAACACGCCAUGACGCUUCAGGAGGCUCAUGUAGCUGGCGCCGUAUGGGACAGCGGGGGAGAGAGAAAAUGCACAGCCCAGGGAAUGUGGAGACAGGCCCAGCGCCAGGCAUGGGGGCCGGAAGGAGCAGCCGGGGAGCAGGGGGCAGGGCCUGGAGUCCCGCCUUGCAGAUCUGAACCUGCCCCAGCCCCAGGACUCUGAGUGCAGCAAGAGGGGAGCCGGGCUGGAGAGUGGGGAGCACGGAGACUGUGGCCUGGAUGGUGCCAGAGCAAACAGGAGAGAGGCUGCCCAACGCAGAGGCUGCAGCACAGACCAGAGGGUCCCGGGGCUGACUGGGUGGGGGCAGCUCCCAGCGAGAGGCCCCUGGGAUUUGGGUAAGUAGAGGCACAUGCAGACUCUGGCCACAGGGCACCUCGCGCACGAGGGGAGUUCACCACACAAGCUGAGCGGAGGGCGGACGCAGGAGAGCAGCGGUUUCUCGGAAGCCAAGGGCGGUCAUGGAGCCCCACGCCACAGCGCUUCCCACGGGGCCACACCAUCCGGUCUGCGGAGGGGGCUGCAUUGCCGGGAAGGACCAUCUGAUUCUGGAUUCCAGCCUCACCCUGGGCCACCGCUGAGUGUCCCAAGUGGCCCCUUAGCCCCCAGGGCCAGGCGGCAUCCCAAUCCCCUAGGGAUGUCUGUGCUCAGAAUGUGGCACACACGCCCCGGCAGGGCCAUCCUCCUCCUCCUGCACCCGCCACAGCCGUGGAUUCGGGGUCUCUAUCGUGGGCAGAAAUUCACACAGUCAAGGUGAGGGUCCCAGGAGCAGCUGUGACCAGGCCCCGGCUGCCAGGGAGAGGGGGUCUUCAGCCGACGGGGCAGACACCCUGAGAUGGACCCUUGUCCAGGGGAGGGCCCUGCCACCCACAAUUCCUUGGCAUUCCUGCACCAGCAGGACGGGCUGAGGGAGGCGCCUCACCAGUGCCAGCGCCCAGCAUCACUGUGCCCCGGUGGAGGGGGAGGCCCUUCCGAGCCUGGGCCUGGGUGUGGAUGAGGGCAGGUCUCUCACCUCUCUGACCUCAGCUUCCUCAACUGGGAAGGGGGGCCACAGCACCCCCUUAGGGGUGAUGAGGAAGUGGGAGCUCAGGGAGGACCCCGGGCAGGGCUGCCUCCUCACCUCUCUUCGGCCUUUGGACACUGGAGCUCAGAGGACCAAGUGAAUGAAUGAAUGACUCGAUCAAUCAACUGAUCCAUGAAUCCAUGGACCCCUGAACAGCUGGACAGCUGGGCUGUGGGCAGGACAGGGGACUCUGGCUGAAGCCGCGUUCAUAUGUGUUCAGCUUUGUGAGUGGGGCGAGGUUGAGGGCUUAUUCAGUGGGGGAGGUGCACGGCAGGGCCAGUACCCUUGGAGGGUCAGGCCACAGGGGCGGGGACACCUGCCAGGAUGCCCAACCCCAGAGGCAGUGGGAGCUGUUGGGGAGCCGUGGUCCCAGUCAGCGGUGGCUUGAUGAGGGCUGCUCCCACUUCAUCCGCAGGAUUCCAGCCGCAGCUACCCCACACCCGAGCUGUCCCUAGUCGCCCACCGCGGCCGGACAAAGCCCCAGCAGCCAAGGUGCUCCGUGGGGAGGGUUUCUUGGGUUUCUUGAAGCCAGUAUUUCCCAUAGUAUCUUACGUCCCAGCAGAGGCCUCCACUGUGCCCGGACCAGCGGCCCACUCAGUGAGUCGAGUGUGCACCUGGCACCCCUCUUUCUGGAAAUCCACGAACAAUGGGCUCCCAGCAGAGGACUGAGGCUGAGCAGGCCACUUCCCUGGAGCUGACCCCACAGCUGUGUAGGUACAGGGUGGCCGUGAACACUUAGGGCUCUCUCGGGCUGUGCGCUUCUUGUUCACUGCAAGGAGCAGGGUGUUGGCUCCUGACCAAGCCCUGUCACUGCUGCCCAGCCACACGUGGGGCCCCUUCACCCACCCCUGACCACCUCAUGCAGGUGAAGCCACUGUGGAAACAGCCUGGCAGUCCCUUGAAAAAUGAAGUCAUAAACCCCAGCAAUUGCACUCCUGGGCCUCUGACAGAGCUUGCACGUCCCCUCCAAAGCUCGUGUUAAGCUGUGAGCCCCAGUGCCGGAGGUGGGGCCUGGUGUGUUUGGGUUCUGGGGGUGGAUCCCUCAUGGCUGGGUGCCAUGAACCCACUCACCACAGUGAGUUCUCACGAGAUCUGGUUGUUGAGAAGUGUGUCAUACCUCCCCCACAACUCUCUGUCUUUUGUUCCGGCUCUGGCAAUGUAACAAGCCUGCUCCUCCUUCGCCUUCUGCCAUGACUGUAAGCUUUCUGAGGGCUGACCAGAAGCCCAGCAGAUGCCAGCACCAUGCUUCCUAUACAGCCUGCAGAACCGUGAGCCAGCUAAACCUCUCCUCAUAAAUCACCGAGCCCCAGGUUUAUCUUUACAGCAAUGCAAGACCUGACUAAUACAGCACCAGCUCCCCAAAAUAAAAAGAAAUAUUCAAACAAAUAAGCGCACAGAAGUGUUCCCAGCAGCACUAUUCACAGCAGCCAAAAGGCGGAGGAGCCACAGGCUUGUCAGCUGAUGACAGAUAAAGAAAGCAUGGCCUGUCAUCCCAGCACUUUGGGAGGCCGAGGUGGGUGGAUCACCUGAGGUUGGGAGUUCAAGACCAGCCUGGCCAACAUGGUGAAACCCAGUCUCUACUAAAAAUAUAAAAAUUAGCUGGGUGUGAUGAUGAGCGCCUGUAGUCCCAGCUACUUGGAAGGCUGAGGAACAAGAAUCGCUUGAACCCGGGAGGCAGAGGUCGCAGUGAACCGAGAUCAUGCCAUUGCUCUCCAGCCUGGGUAACAGAGUGAGACUCUGUCUCUAAAUAAAUGAAUAAAUAAAU